GGCGGAGUGCUGCGGGCGGUGGCUGCGGGAUCCCGGCCCCACCUCGGGGCUCGCCGUGCCUGGAGGCGCCGCGCCGCUGCUCCCGCAGCCCCGAGCCCUGCAAGCCCGAACGGGAGAGAAACAAAAGCAUCCUCCGAAGGAGAUGUGACAUCUUCUUUUCUCUGUUGGUAUCUGUUAUCUUCUGAAGAAUGCAUAUCCAAAAGCGAAACCUGAACCUCUCACCUUCAGAGGUAGAAACCCACUCCUGGCCACGGGCCCCUGGACACGAACGGUGAUCCUUUUCCAUGUUAAAAAAACUUGAUGUCAGCUUCUCAGAGGCUGCUCCGAGGGCAGCCCAAGCUCUAGGUGAGGGCAGCUUGGCUCUGAGAGGAAUCCUGCACUGUUCUCUUUCACCUUCUCUGCCUCCAAGUUCACUUAGUAUCCUCCUUCUUCUUCCCACCAACACCUUUUCUCUGAUUUUGAUGCCCCUGUUAUUUUUCAUAAAUAUUUAUUUGCCCAUGGAAACCGCUUUUGCUUAACCGAGCCCUUUGUGGCAUUUUUGGCCUUCAGAAGUUCCACCUUGAAACAAUUUAUUUUUCUUUCCCCAGUGUAGCAAAACUGACUAAAACUUUAUGUAGAAUAUAACAAUCCAAAGACUCUUUGAUCAUUAGAACCAUUCUCCCACUAAUUGAUACAGAUUUAUUCAUCUCCAAUUUAUAUCCAUUCAUAUUUUGCAUUUAUGGAUAUACGUAACAGUAUUAUUUACCAGCUUAAUUCCCCCUUUUUCAUAAACUUUCUUAGUUUUGUAGAUUUUGCUUUCAAACCCAGGCCAUGCUCUUAAAAUCUUCAUGAGACCCAUUCUGCUUCUGUGAGAUUCUGCUCUAAAUUAAUCAUUCUUGAACGUGAAACAACUGGAAUUCACACACUUCUCACAGCUCUUACCACUGAGAAAUAAAGAACACAACCAACUAAACAAUUUGAUUAAUAUAAACUAGAACAUUUA
This is a non-coding RNA of Cyanistes caeruleus (blue tit), 982 nucleotides long. Lineage: Eukaryota; Metazoa; Chordata; Aves; Passeriformes; Paridae. The record is from RefSeq and is a predicted model, not a curated record.